GAUGAAGAACGCAGCGAAAUGAGAUACGUAAUGUGAAUUGCAGAGUUCAGUGAAUCAUCGAGUCUUUGAACGCACAUUGCGCCCCCUGGUAUUCCGGGGGGCAUGCCUGUCCGAGCGUCAUUGCUGCCCUCAAGCACGGCUUGUGUGUUGGGCCUCCGUCCUCCUCCCGGGGGACGGGCCCGAAAGGCAGCGGCGGCACCGCGUCCGGUCCUCGAGCGUAUGGGGCUUCGUCACCCGCUCUUGUAGGCCCGGCCGGCGCUUGCCGACACAUCAAUCUUUUUUCCAGGUUGACCUCGGAUCAGGAAGGGAUACCCGCUGAACUUAAGCAUAUCAAUAAGCGGAGGA
RNAcentral lists this unclassified non-coding RNA (345 nucleotides) under soil metagenome. Its description in RNAcentral is "partial contains 5.8S ribosomal RNA, internal transcribed spacer 2, and large subunit ribosomal RNA". The stretch from base 1 to 120 matches the Rfam family "5.8S ribosomal RNA", at positions 35 to 154 of the family's 154-position model. The record is from RNAcentral.